RNAcentral lists this ribosomal RNA (503 nucleotides) under uncultured bacterium. RNAcentral describes it as "bacterial SSU rRNA". It matches the Rfam family "Bacterial small subunit ribosomal RNA", at positions 28 to 532 of the family's 1533-position model. The record is from RNAcentral.
GACGAACGCUGGCGGCGUGCCUAACACAUGCAAGUCGAGCGGGGUUGAGGCGAGAGGUAACUCGAACUUCUACCUAGCGGCGGACGGGUGAGUAACGCGUGGGCAACCUGCCUCAAGGUUUGGGAUAACAGCCCGAAAGGGCUGCUAAUACCGGAUAUGCCUAUGGCCUCGCAUGGGGCUAUGAGCAAAGGGGAAACCCGCCUUGAGAUGGGCCCGCGUCCCAUCAGCUAGUUGGUGAGGUAACAGCUCACCAAGGCGACGACGGGUAGCCGGCCUGAGAGGGUGACCGGCCACACUGGGACUGAGACACGGCCCAGACUCCUACGGGGGGCAGCAGUGGGGGAUCUUGCACAAUGGGCGAAAGCCUGAUGCAGCGACGCCGCGUGAGCGAAGAAGGCCUUCGGUGUAAAGCUCUGUCUGGAGGGACGAAGGAAGGUAGACGGUACCUCCGGAGGAAGCCACGGCUAACUACGUGCCAGCCAGCCGCGGUAAACUGUAGUCGU